UGACAAUGUUAUUUUAAUAAUCAAGAGACCAAAGCACCUCAUGGUCCUCUCCUGUAAAUUAAUCCUAAACAGAAACAAUAAUUUUUAGAUAUAUCAUUUAGUAUAUUUCCAUUGAAAUUUGAGAUUCAGGUUAAAGAAAAUCCACAGAUUUUUAUAUUCCAGCUUCAGUUAAGCAUAUGUUCAUUCCCAUAAAAUCAAAUGAAGUAGUUAGUGG
Molecule: unclassified non-coding RNA, 214 nt
Filed under: Hevea brasiliensis (rubber tree)
Lineage: Eukaryota; Viridiplantae; Streptophyta; Magnoliopsida; Malpighiales; Euphorbiaceae
Source: RNAcentral